GCCGGGGUGGCGGAACUGGUAGACGCACAGGACUUAAAAUCCUGUUCCGCUGUAAAGCGGAGUGCGGGUUCGACCCCCGCCCUCGGCACCA
Molecule: transfer RNA, 91 nt
Filed under: Ignavibacteria bacterium
Lineage: Bacteria; Pseudomonadati; Ignavibacteriota; Ignavibacteria
Description: tRNA-Leu
Rfam family: tRNA
About the family: Transfer RNA (tRNA) molecules are approximately 80 nucleotides in length. Their secondary structure includes four short double-helical elements and three loops (D, anti-codon, and T loops).
Source: RNAcentral